GACGAACGCUGGCGGCGUGCUUAACACAUGCAAGUCGAACGGUGAAGCGAGUGCUUGCACUCGUGGAUCAGUGGCGAACGGGUGAGUAACACGUGAGUAACCUGCCCAUCACUCUGGGAUAAGCACUGGAAACGGUGUCUAAUACUGGAUACGACCAACCCUUGCAUGGGGUGUUGGUGGAAAGAUUUAUCGGUGAUGGAUGGACUCGCGGCCUAUCAGAUUGUUGGCGGGGUAAUGGCCCACCAAGGCGACGACGGGUAGCCGGCCUGAGAGGGUGACCGGCCACACUGGGACUGAGACACGGCCCAGACUCCUACGGGAGGCAGCAGUGGGGAAUAUUGCACAAUGGGCGAAAGCCUGAUGCAGCGACGCCGCGUGAGGGAUGACGGCCUUCGGGUUGUAAACCUCUUUCAGCAGGGAAGAAGCGAAAGUGACGGUACCUGCAGAAGAAGCACCGGCUAACUACGUG
Molecule: ribosomal RNA, 469 nt
Filed under: uncultured bacterium
Lineage: Bacteria
Description: partial 16S ribosomal RNA
Rfam family: Bacterial small subunit ribosomal RNA
Source: RNAcentral